UUUAUAUUCAUAUACCAAUCUUCAGUGUCUCACUCACAUGAUUAAUACAUGUAUAUUUUUAUAAAUGCUACUAUCCCAUUUAAACACAAAAGAUAGGAUUCACUCAAAAUGAUACUUCCCUAUGAACACAAAUAGGGAUACUACCUACUACCUCACACCUGCUGAGGUUUACAUCAUCAUAAAACCCUAUUACACAAAAAGGGGUACUAAUGCAUUUAUCUACAACUGGGACAUCACAUAAUCAUCACUGGUGGCCCUAUUGGGUCACCUGCAUAGGCUCCUGGGGAAACAAACCCUCCAUAACCCUAUGCCGAACGGAUCAGCUCGACUCCCCUAUCUCCUCGUGAGGCCUGACACUCACCCCCUUCUGGCUCUGGAAGGCUGCAUCAAGCGCUAGCCCUAAUGUCUCUAUCCUGGUAUCUUUUGCCAGCAGCUCACCCUCCAACUGGUCGACCCUCGUAACGGCAUUGUACCAAACUUCAUCCAUCCUAGUCCUCUCCACCCUUUCCAGCUCAAGAUCAGCAAUCAAAGCCUGCAGCUGCACCCUCAGCAUCCCAACUUGCAACUGGGACUCGUCCAACUUCCCUUUCUGCUCGACCACCUCCAUCUGGGCUUGAAAAGCUGCAUCCUUGUAUUGACUUCCGGUGAAUUGGAGGGUGUGGUUUUCAACCUCUAAUUCACCCACUCUGUCUUCUAGUUGACUGAUUCUCCUCAGCAAAUCCUCUACCGGAGGACCAUGAGGGAUAUCUCCGGUGACCUCAUGCUCAAUGGUCUCCUGAUCUACUGAGUGACUGCCCUAGCGCUCGUCAGACAUCCUACAAACACCAUAAAUAAAACCAACAUCAGUACCACAAUAAAAUAUAUUUAUUGAUAAAAUGAAAUAAUAUUUUAUUAAGUACAACACAAACUCGACGAAUUUCCACAAUCCAUCUCCUAACAUACUCUAUAAAGUUUUCUACUAAGGUUAUAACCUAGGUUUCGCAUUCCUAAUGUUUAUAACCUACAGCUUUGAUACCAACUUGUGACGCCCCCAAAUCCAGGUUCUCUAACCUCAGAUUCGGUGCUCACGAUCUAUCAUCAUCAUAAGCAUUCUAUAACUAUUACGAAAUAACAAACAUACAUUGUUCAUUAUAAUAAAGUCUCAUAACAUGGUCCCAAGGUCUUCAUAACCUUAACUUUAAACACACCAUUCAAUAUACAAAAAUUUUACUUAAAAAAUUCCAUCAGAUAAUAAUUAAAUUAACAUUCAUUCUAAACUACUCCUGGAUCUUGCCCUUGCCUUUGCCAUUCUCCUUCGUGUUAGAUCCUUUGGGCUUAACUGAAAUAGAUGUCAUGAUAUAGCAAGAAUAAGCAACUAAUUUGCUUCGCAAGUUUAUAUACAAGGGAGAUAUAUCAUGACUUAGAAAGAAAUAUUGCGUUCAAUGUUCAACAAUAGUAUAAGAUUGUGAAGGAACAUGAAUUAAUAAUCAACAAUUGAAUAUUCGAUAAUUAAAUUACAUGAACUGAGUGGUUUUGAAAUAACCAUGAACAUUUGCCAAGGUGCUCAGUUAUUUAAAUUGGACCUCUUAAUAAGUUUUGGUAUUCAAGGGGAUCAGCCUUUCAUACCUCGUGAUUUAUGCAUAAACACUUAAUAAUCCGGCAUUGAUAUCAUGCCUUAAUCAAAUUCGUCCUUUUCUCAGUCAAGAGUUCUUAUCAUAUCAAUUUAAUAAGAACAACUAUUUAAAAUACAUUUGAUUUAACAAAUUUAGACAUGCUUGAUCUAGCUGAUACAACUAGCAUAGAUCUAUCUCAUAAACAGUUCGUGAAUGAAAGAACUUUAAUUUAAUUCACAAUUCAAUAAUAGUAGAACAGGAAUUCAAUUGCACAAAGUGCGAAUUUCAAUAAUCAAAAUAGAUAUGAAUAAUCAUCAAUAAUUAUUCACUAACAUGCUUUGAAAAUAAUAACUCGAGUUUGAGUUAGGAAACUUUCCUCGUCGGUAGAUUACGGCUAUGCAAUUAAAUUAUAUCCACUAUGCAGUUAAAUUAUCUUCUUUUGAGAGACCUAUAGUUAAUCUUUCAAUUAGUCAUAGCAUAACAUUAGAGUAUGCAAUCAAAUAGAUAUUAUACAUUACAUUUAGUUUUUAUAAACAUUAUCCUGCCUAGAUAAUGUUACUAUUAAAUAACAACUUAAUAUUAUUAAUCUUGAUAAUAUUUAAUUCACCUCUUAGUAUUAUUAGUUCCCUAAUAAUACUUUCAUUCGCUUACUAAUAUUAUUAACAUCUUAAUAAUAUUUUAAUACCUUACUAAUAUUAUUAAUCAUCUUAAUAAUAUUUUAAUCAUGCAUUAAUAUUAUUACCUUAAUAAUAUCUUACUUAUGCUUUAGUAACAUUAAUAAAUUAAUAAUACUUUUAAUUAUUUAUUAAUAUUUUAUUCAUUUACUAAUAUUAUUAAUCAUUUAAUAAUAUUUUAUUCAUUUACUAAUAUUAUUAAUCAUUUAAUAAUACUUUAUGCAUUUAUUAAUGCUUAAAUUAAAUAUUAUUAAUCAUUUAAUAGUAUUUUAUAGAAAUUUUAAUCUUAAUAUUUUUAUUUACUUAACAAUAUCAUAUUCUAAUAUUAUUAAUAUCAUAAUAAUAUUUUAAUAAAGUUUUAAUCUUAAUAUUUUUAUUUACUUAACAAUAUCAUAUUCUAAUAUUAUUAAUAUCAUAAUAAUAUUUUAAUAAUUUAAUGGAUUAAUAAACAAUUUAUUCUAAUUGUUCACCAUUUAUUAAACCUAUUAUUUAAUAUCCAUAAAAGGUCAUAAAUGAUAUUUCUUAUCAUAAAUUACCAAAAUUCCCUAAGAUAGUCAUGAUGUAACAUAUUAUGAGUAUUCAAGCAUAAAAAUCACAUUUUUAUUAUUAAAGACAUCAUUUAGCUAUUUAUUUCCUUUUAUUCAUAACUUAAUCAUUUUUUGGAAAAAUAGCAAACUGACUCCAAAAAAUCUCAACUUCUGGAUUUUGGCAAAAUAUGAACCAACAAUGAUCCCCUAAUUUUUUUGGAAUUUUAGAAAAUGAUUUACUAUUUUUAAAGUGCCCAAACACUCGGAUCUUGCUCUAUUUUUCAUAAAUUGAGUUUUGCUCAGAAAAAUAUGAAAUUUUCAGUGUAUGCUCUCCUAACAUACAUGAACCUACUGUAAAAAUUUCUGAAUUUUUUAGUGUAUACACAAUGAGAUAUUCGAAGGUUAAUAUUUUGGAGUAACUAUUUUAGGAUUUUGAACCCUUAACAAUCAAAGUGGACUGUUUUGGGGAAAACAGUCCCAAAGCUUUCAAAACUUACUAGAUUUGUGUUCUAUCACUUGGGUUUACUAGGUAACUCAUGUAUCUAGCACCCCCUUUUGAUGGAUCACAAAUCCAAGUUGGAAAACUUGAGUUACACAAGAUUUAGUGGAAGAAAAAUAAGAGUUUUCACCCUUGGAGAACAUAUGCUCAUAUUCUUUCUCUAAGCCUUUGAUCUAACACUCAAGAUACUUAGUUCUAUACGUGAUGAUAUGUAGAACUAGGGUAUUUUGAGUAUUUGCUCAUAACCCCAACAAAACUCAAGCUAUAAAACAAAGUAGAAGAAGAAGAUGAAAGUUAGGUUAUACCUUGAUUUAUUGGCUACCUUCCUUGAUUUACCAAAGUAGUAUCUAAACUUAGGAUGCAUGAACAAACUAGCACUCCUCUCUCUCUCUCUAUGGCCGAACCUCUCUCUUUUCUCUCUCUUGAAGUUGCUAGCUUGGGAGAAAAAGUUAAAAGAAGAAGAAUGAGAGAAAGUGGAGUAUUCUAGCAAAUGAGAAGAUUGAUUCCUUAUUAUCCCCCAUACUUUCCUUGACCCAUGGAUAAAAGCUUUGCCUUAUCACUUCAAUUAGUCUAAUCAUGAUUAAGGGUGCUUAAAAGAGUGGCAACCAAUGGGAGCUUGACAAACAUGUCCUUGUGUGUAAGAGUUACUACUAAUGGACAUUGAUUAGCUUAAACAUCUUGCCAUAAAAAGCCUAAUUGGCCAGUCCCUUUACCCCCAUUUUAUCUCCCAAUUUGCUUUUAUUUUAAUGCACAAAUUUGAUUAAUCAAAAGUCUAAAAUACCCUUAAUCAAGUGGGCUAAGUAUUGGUUUGCAUGUUAUUUCAUUUGGGCUCCCUCCUUAAUUGUUUUGGGCUAUGUAAUAAACAUAGUCUAGCAAUUUUAAUAUAUGUUACCUAAUUUGAUUAUUUAGGGUUUCCAUUCCUAAUAUUAUGAAAUUUAAUUGCCUACACAUGUGACUUUAGCUCAUAACCUAAUUAGAUUUACAAGAAUUAGGUUUAAAAUUAUUAGUCACUUGAAAUAAUAAGUUUACCCACUUAAGUUAGUAUACAUAUUAAAUACUAACUUUUCCUUAUUACCAUAACCCUUAGGUUAUUUAAUUGUCUCACCUAAUGUAUAAUUAGGUUACGAAGCUUUCAUUUUUAAUGAAAUCUAUAAAUGUAUAUAUCCAUAACUAUAGCAUAUAUGUUAAUUGACUCAUGCACCACUUCACAUAGGUUGUCACAUAUUAAAUCACUGUAUAACACAAAAUUUUAAAUAUCAAUAAUGUACAUACAUAUAUAGUGACUUAAAAUUCACGGUUAUUACAAUUGAUUCCAUUGGAGUGUUAUAGUUCAAAGUCUAUUUGACUAGCAGUUAUUCUAAAAGCAAUCGUUAUCUUUGGUUGCGAUAUUCAUAUUGUUGAAUCCUUCAGAUAUUCAUAUUGUUGAAUUCAUUAUCAGUUAUUUUUCCAUUCAUCAUGAUAUAUCCUUAUUGUUGUAUUUAAAUUUGUUGAGCAAACUUGUUGCUUAUCCUUGCUAUAUCAUGAAUAUAUUGCAGCUAAGCCCGAGACCUCAGGGAAGGACAAGGGUAAAGGAGAGAUGUAGAAUAGUGGCAAGAAGCAGGCUUUACCUUGCGCUUAGUUUAAAUUAUUGUUAUGUAAUAUGAAACCUAAUGAUUAUUUUAGGGUAUAUUUGUAAGAUGAUAUUAAGAUUAUCGUACCUUGGGACUAGUAACACCUUUUGAAUGAAUGACGUACGUUUAUUAUAUUUCGCAUUUUAGUUAUCGUAUAUUGUUUAAAGGUGGAUGUUUGUAUUUUAUCGUGAUGACCGAACCGGGGUCAGAGGACAAGGAUUCGGGGGCGUCACACCAGAAACUUAUUAGAAGAUAUGCAUGAUUCAUCAUUGAUCAUACCAUGUCCAACAAGGUACGAUUCCUCCUCUCAGACACACCAUUCCAUUGUGGUGUUCCAGGUGGAGUGAGUUGUGAUAUAAUAUCACACUCCAAUGUCAUCAAAGUCUUGGCUUACGUAUUCACCUCCUCGAUAUAAAUUUAAUGAAAUAAAAAAACCCACCUCUUGUUAACGAACUUAUGGGUCCACAUAUAUCACUAUGUAUAAGUCCCAAUACAUUGCUAGCCCGUUCACUGUGUCCAGUGAAAGGGACUUUAGUCAUCUUGUCUAAUAAACAAGACUCGCAUUUCUCAUAUGAUUCAAAAUCAAAUGAAUCCAAAAACCCAUCUUUAUGGAGUUUGGAUAUGUGUUUCUCAUUUAUAUGGCCUAAACAACAGUGCCAGAGAUAUGUCGGAUUUGAAUCAUUUAAAUCAUUUUGUAUUUAUGUCAUAGAUAAACAUUUCUAAAUCAAGAAUAUAAAGACCAUUAAAUAGUUGUGCAACACCAUAACAUAUUUUAUUUAAGUAAAACGAACAACUGUUGUUCUUUAUUAAAAAUAAAAAACCUUUCUUCUCCAAACAAGAAACAGAAAUAAUAUUAUUGCUCAUAGCAGACACAUAAUAAAAAUCCUCUAAUUCUAAUACUAGCCCAGUGGGCAAAGAUAAAUGAUAAGUUCCUACAACUAGUGCAACAACUUUUGCUUCAUUCCCAACUCGUAGGUCAACCUCUCCUUUCGCCAAAGUCCUCCUUCGAAGUUCCUGCACAUUAACACAAAUGUGAGAAUCACAUCCAGUAUCCAAUACCCAUGAUGUAGAAGUGGACAAAUUGACUUCUAUAACAUUUAUACCUGAAUCAUAAGUCACACUUCCUUUUUUUUCUUCAGUUCUUCCAAAUAAGCAUGACAAUUCCUCUUUCAGUGUCCAGAUUUUUCAUAGAAGUGACAAUCACCUUCUUUAGCCACGUCGCCUUUAGGUUUUAAAGCCUGUUUGAUUUUGGAAUUGGGUUUGGCACCAGAUUUAGAUCCUAUUUUCUUCUUCCCUUUCCCCUUUCCCCUUUCCCCUUUCCCCUUUCCCUUAACAUUCCCCUUUUGCACCAUCAUUAUGGGAGUAGGUCCUACCUUUUUCAUGUUGUUCUCGACAGUUCUCAACAAGCUCAACAACUCAGCAAGUAGUUUCUCAAUUUCAUUCAUGAGGUAAUUCAUAACAAAUUGAGAGUAACUAUUGUUCAAAGAUUGCAAAACAAGAUCAGUUUGAGCUUCCGGAGUAAUCGAAAAACCCAACCUAUCAAGGUACUCAAUAUACCCAAUCAUUUUUAGUACACGUGGACCAACUGGAUCACGUUCACCUAUCUUGCAGUGAUACAAUGCUUUGCUUGUAUCAUACCUUUCCUGUCGAGCAUGCCCUUCGAACAAUUUCUUGAGAUGCUCGAUCAUCUCAUAAGCAUCCAUCUCAUAAGCAUCCAUUAACUCAUGUUGCUUCUGAAGUUCAGAGUUCAUAGUUGCUAGCAUGAGACAACUCACGUCCGGAGCAACAUCUUGAUGCUUCUUGUAAGCAUUAUGCUCUACACGUGGUGCAGUGUUAGCUGGUGCUGUAGGAAUAGGCCCAUCAAGGACAUAUCUUACGCUCUUGUUUGAGGACAAUCCUCCAGUUUAAGAAAUUAAUUCCACUCAGUUUUUUCUUCUCAAGGACUGAUCGUAGUGAAAGAUUAUUUGUGUUGUUAUUUGCCAUUGAUAUCUACAAUUUAUAAGUGCAAAAAUAAUAAGUCAAAUUACAGAGUUUUUGAUAUUAUGUAAUUGAUAAUAGUAAAUUCAAAAUAUAACUAUGACACAUUUUAUUUUGCACUUUAUUUAUGCUUGUAUACAAUAUGAUAAAUAAUAUGCAUUGUGAUAAUUAGGUUAUGAAGCUUUCCUUUUUUUAAUGAAAUCUAUAAAUAUGUAUAUCCAUAACUGUAGUAUAUAUAUAUUUAUUUAGUCAUUCACCACUUUACAUAUGUUAUCACAUAUUAACUCACUAUAUAGCACAAAAUUUUAAAUAUCAAUAAAGUAUAUACAUAUAAAGUGAUUUAAAAUUCCUAAUUAUUACAUGGAUAGCCGACCCUUGUCAUGCUUUAUUUCAUGCAUUAUCACCAAAACAAUUUUUCAAAUCAACAUAAUAAAGAUCUUAUAAAAUACAAAAUCACUUCAGAAAUAGACAAAUUUAAGGUUAAAAAUCAAAUGGCAAAAUAGGGUCUGAACACCGAGUUCUCCAAAUCCUCUCAAGAAGCGUUUUAAUCAAAAUAAAAUUAAAAAUUAAAGUUACGGCUCAAUUAUUAUAAUCAAACCUUUUCAAAUUUGUCGGCGUGUUUGUUAGUCUUUUUUCCUAAAAUCUCACCCUUAAAGAUAAAUUAAUCGAUAUAUCAAAAUAAAAAAAAGGUAUAAACGACACAGGAAACAUUAAUUCCCCCGACGUCAACAUAAAUUCAACUCAAUUCUCAAAUCAAAAUUCAAAAAGUAUUAUCAAUUCAAAAUCAUCUUAAUUUUAAUCUUCAAAUUAAAAAUUCAUCUUCAUUUUCAAUUUCAAAUUUAACUCCAUAACUCAAAUAAAAGCUUUAAAACCCAUAAAUUCAGAAUCCUAAAACUUCAAAUACAAAUUUAGGUUUUCAAUUCAAAUGCAAUUUAAAAAUCUUUAAAUCUUUAAUAUAAAUAUAUAAUUGUUCUAAACAAAUUUUAAUAAAAAUUCUCAAAAAUAUCCAUCAAAACAAUUUAAAAUUUACAGACACGUAGAAUUUUAUUCUUGUUCUUUCAAUGUAAUAUCAUUUUCUUUUCCAAGUGUAAAAAUAAUCAAGAAAUAGUGGAAUGAGAAACAUAUUUAUGGAAUAACACAAAUCACACUUAUGAGAUGACACAGAACACAAUCACUAAUAAAAUGACACAAGCAUGUGACUCACUUUCUAAGACAACCUUUUUAAGUAAAAUAAAAAAUUUAAGAAAUCGCGAAAAUUGUGUUUCUCAAAAGUCCAAGUGCCUGGCUCCUUCAUCCUGCUUAUUAGACAAACACCCAAACUUUUAAAUCUCAAUUAGUAGACCAACUUAAUUGAGUUACAAUUAAUCGGGUUGCUACAUUCAAUUAAAACACUACCAGUUAGCAACAUUGAAAAUUUGACCUAUUAAUUGAAAAAAAUUCAAAACCCCCAUGGAAUCCGUUUUUAAUUGAAAACUUGAAAUUUUUUGACAUAAUCAAAUUCGUUUCUAAUCCUAAUUUUAUAAUAAAAUUCUAUUUUAUUAAUUGAAAACCUAAAACUUUUUGACAUAAUCUCAAAAUCAAACUCCAAACUAGUUGACGGCCAAAAAAUCCAAUUUCUUUCAACCUUUGGUUAUUUUUAGCCCAUUUUUUAUAGUUGAAUUCCAUGUUAUUUCAAUUUUUGCCAACAUCGUAAUCCUUCCAUUCACACUCACCUAUCUGCCAAACAUUGCAAGUAAUUCACUUAUAAGUGAAAGAUUAUCCCGAACAAACACUUUGGAAGAGUUUAUCCAGCUCACAAAAUGUGUAUACAUGGAAAGAAACAAACACGGGUAGACACUUUGCAUAAACAAAACAAUAUAUUAUGAGUACGAUGUUCUUGAUAAGUAAGAUUCUCUAGCAAAAAAUUUAGUGGCCUAGCAGGUCAAAACAGGAAAUUAAAAAAUACCUUAAAAAAAUACAAACUCACCUUUGACCAUCUCUAGCAAGAACCACCAAAUUAUUUAAACAGAAAAAUCAGGGUCGAACAAUCCCGUAAAGCGAACCAUUCUAUAGAGCUCUGCAACGCAGAUAUAAUUUCUCUAACACAAAUAUAAUGAAGUAAUAAUAUUAAAACUAAAUAAAACUAGGAGAUCUGAUUAGAGGAUCAUCAAUAUACCUUUAGGCGGGCAGGCAGGAGGCAUAAAUAAAAUGUAUAAUAAAGUUGCAUCAUCUUUUCUCCUCUUCUUAGCCACUCAAAAAGAGGACAGAAAUGUGUAGAUUGUAGAGAGAUGUAUGGGGGCGGCGGUGAGGGAAGAGGGGAGGGGGAACCCUAAUCUAUAUAAUUAAAAUGAUAGCAAUGAAAAUAACCGUUUUUAUUGUAAAGUGAUUGAUUCCCUCAAUUAUGAGGGAAC
This 9269-nucleotide long non-coding RNA is filed under the name Panax ginseng (ginseng). Its description in RNAcentral is "long non-coding RNA (PGIN_LNC002251)". The record is from RNAcentral. Lineage: Eukaryota; Viridiplantae; Streptophyta; Magnoliopsida; Apiales; Araliaceae.